This 168-nucleotide transfer-messenger RNA is filed under the name Actinomycetota bacterium. Its description in RNAcentral is "Actinobacteria bacterium partial transfer-messenger RNA". It matches the Rfam family "transfer-messenger RNA", at positions 1 to 169 of the family's 374-position model. Rfam says of the family: Bacterial tmRNA, also known as 10Sa RNA or SsrA, is named for its dual tRNA and mRNA-like properties. Lineage: Bacteria; Bacillati; Actinomycetota. The record is from RNAcentral.
GGGGAUGAUCGGUUUCGACGGUUUUUGCAGAAACUGAAUGAAGCGGGUCGAGAAUGCAGAGUUAUCUCGUUAACGUCCUCUGCAAACUAUAGGUGCCAAAUCAAACCGCACCGACUUCGCCCUAGCUGCAUAAGCUAGCCUCGAGGUCCGUCAGCCUAAAUCUGAUUU